AAAAGAUUUCAAAGUACUUUUCAUUUUUCAUUUUUGAUAAAAGAAAGUACAUUUCAUUUUAAUGAAACAUUUUUGUUAGGCAAGAAGUAUUUACUUUUUCAGAUUGCCUUUGAUUGUGUUAACAUAUAAAAAUGAAGUGGCAAUUUGUAUGUAUCACAUAACUAAUCAAGACAAAAUACCAAAUGUGACUAUUUGUUAAUUUGGGGAGAUUCUAUAAACAAUAGAAAAAUGUAAGGGUAAAUGAGCUAUUUAAGGUUAAGUAGAAUGCUCUGGGCCAAAUGAGUCCUUGUAGGCCCAUUACAACCUGUAACCACUCAACAUUGCAACCAGACUUCCCAUUACAAAUGUUUUUAGCCUUUUUGUUUGUUGAUUACUUGAUUUGCAUCAGGUAACUUGCAAACAAACAAAUUUGUUUACAAUUCAUUCUUUUUAAUACUGGAUAACACAUGACAUCAUAAUAUAAUAUCUAAUUCUAUUAGAUAUGAUGAUCGACUACCUGCAACAUAUGUGAUGUUGAUGAACAACUCCAGGAUUUCAUGAUUAAGCUAUCUCUAAAAUACUUGGAUCGACGGACGGUUUUGCAUGUACGACAUCCUCGAUGGACAUGCUCUUUCUGCAGCAGACGACUACAACAAACGGCUCUGCUUACAGUACUCUGGAACUUCCGGUAAGUUUUGUAUCCUAUAAUCCCCAAGAAAUUGCAUAGUUUGGGAUUCAAACCCUAAACUUGGAUAUAAAAUCCUUUAAACUUUAACCAAUAGGAUAAGGUGCUUCUAUAAUUUACAAUUCAUUCAAGAUAGAAAAAUUAAAAAAUUAUGCUCCCAAUCACUUUUUCACUUUCGAAUUACGCCAUAAGCCACAUCCCACUUGAAACACACAUUCUAGUGUAUGAAAGACCACAUUGCCCUCUAACUAAAGGAAAACCACCUUCAAUUCUUUUUUCCUCUAUCUUCUCAUUUUCUUAGUUGGGUAACCAAAACAACACGUGGCCCUUCCCCUCUUCUAUAUUCUUAUUUUACCAAUUCGGAAAACUAUAACCCUUCAAAUUCAUUUUUUCCAGAAUCAUUUCCAGAGGCGACGUAGACUCUGAACCCUUCCCUCUCAGAAAACCACCUCCUUUCUUGUUCCUACUAACAUUUUCAUCAACCUUCUCAAAUCUCCAGUUCCCUAAAGAUAUACGGUCGUUUUCUCUCCGAAACUCACCAAUUUGAAGCUUUAAAGACAUGUGAGGAGGACAAUAAGUUCCUGACAACCGUCUCCCACCGAUACUGUUUGCGACUGACUGGUGCCUCUCUGGGCGUCUUAAUAUUUACUCUAAGCCUGACCUCCUUGCUUUCAUCCGUUAUGCGCUUCCUGGCACUAGGAGUUUGAGACUAUCAAAACUUCUUGUUUCAGGAAGUUGUUUGACUUACGAGCUCGCCAGUGUUCUGUCUCGUGCUAACUAGUACACUCCUUCCUGACCAGACAACUAGUUUGUGUCGAUAAACACAUCUUCUGGUGGAGGCAACCCCCUCUGGUUUGAUCUUUUUUGUCACAGUUUCAAACACCCAUGGAGGAAGAUGACACUCCAUCACACUCCCUUGUGGUCAGCCAAUAUAGCGCACAACAUUACGUCCACAACUCUCCCGUACAUGGCUCGCCGUCCACAACUCCCCGUACAUGGCUGGUCGUCCACAACUCACACGUCCACAACUCACACGUCCACAACUCACCCAUCUUCAACUAUCCUGUCCACACACACCACAUCCACACUUCACCCGUCCACGACUAUCCCAUCCAAAACUCUCCUAUUUAUCUCCCCAACACUGCAUGCAACACUUCCGCCGAACACCAUUCCGAUGUGCGUGCUCCUGCAUCUCCUCAAGUCAUAUUCUGUUUUGUAUGAUAGUAAUGCUCUAAACUCAAUCUGUUACAAAGAGAGUCUGGAGCUUCCUCACAUACGAGAAGAAACAAUAAAUUCAUGUCAUUGUCGUCAUGUAAUACCAAGCUUAUUUUUAACAUCAACCGUGAGAUUAAAAAUUUUCUUUUUGA
Long non-coding RNA from Brassica napus (rape), 2031 nucleotides. RefSeq lists it as uncharacterized. The record is from RefSeq and is a predicted model, not a curated record. The transcript is spliced from 2 exons. Lineage: Eukaryota; Viridiplantae; Streptophyta; Magnoliopsida; Brassicales; Brassicaceae.